UACGUAGGUGGCGAGCGUUGUCCGGAUUUACUGGGCGUAAAGCGCGCGCAGGCGGUUCGUUAAGUCCGGCGUGAAAGCUCCCGGCUCAACUGGGAGAGGUCAUUGGAUACUGGCGGACUUGAGGGAUGCAGAGGAAGGUGGAAUUCCCGGUGUAGUGGUGAAAUGCGUAGAGAUCGGGAGGAACACCAGUGGCGAAGGCGGCCUUCUGGGCAUUUCCUGACGCUGAGGCGCGAAAGCGUGGGGAGCGAACCGG
RNAcentral lists this ribosomal RNA (253 nucleotides) under uncultured bacterium. RNAcentral's name for it is "partial 16S ribosomal RNA". It matches the Rfam family "Bacterial small subunit ribosomal RNA", at positions 524 to 776 of the family's 1533-position model. The record is from RNAcentral.